GAUCCCAUUGGACCUGUGUCCCCCAGGACACUCUGCUGGUCAGGGGCAACUCAGUGUCCACCAGGACCCCCAGGUCAUUCUCCACAGUUGCUCCAGCAGCAAAUCUCUUCUCCGUUGAUUUUAGAGCAGACCACUGAGUGCUUGAUCCAUCUGUUUUGCAGGUCUUUGCCCCAAACGAGGAAAGGUGACUGUGGUGGUUUAUCAGAUGUGAUGUUGAUAUUGUCCAAGAGCUUGGAGAAAAGAACUGGCAAAAUGUGGUGUGAGUGUCUGGAAGGUGCGUGAAGAAAUGCUGGAGCUGCCAAAGCCAUCAGCCUGACAAAGGUGCUGCCUGUCCAUGUCCCCAGGUCAAGCCCAGAGUGUAUUUGGAAUUACACAAGUUAUCCUUACACCCUGAACACUGACAGGGACAAGGGACAGACAAAGGGACAACAAAGCCAGACACACAAUUUUUGUUGUCCCUUCACAGGAGAGAAGAGGUGGACUGGAAUUAAUCAUUAAAAAAAGGAAAAUAAAAACUGUUAUACAUGAAACAACAAAGUGAAGCUUUCAGAGAAGAGCUAUGCUUGCCUGCAUGUAGGAUCAGAACUUAAUAACAAAACUCAUUAAAAUUUAGGUAAUGAUUCAGGGCUCUCUUUAUCUGAAGGAGGGUUCAGGUGGCAGAUUCUGUUUCUUUCAACCAUUGCACAAGGAGGAGGGGAGAUCCUGGUCUGAAUUCCACUGGUAAUGUACCUCUUGUGGGAAUAUUCCUGCCAUGAUAUAACCAGUGACUACAUAAUAAUAUAUUUCAGAAAGUGGACUAAAUAUCGGCUGUGCUUAGCCUAAUAAAAUAAUCCAUUAAUGUCCAGCUAUACAAAUUUAAUUUACUGUAAUAGGGGGUUUUGCUACUUGAAAUCCCCUGGCCAUUAUCUUUACCUGAGAGGGAUCAAUCUCAGUUAAGCAGUUAGCACUUAAGAUAAAAUGAGAAUGGGAUUAAUGGGUUUAUACUGUGUUAUUUAAGAGCCAUUGGCAAAAAAAUUGCCCUCGGUCUGUGUGUGUAAUAUGACAUUUCUCCUUUGCUCCUCUGCUCCCUCAAUGCCUUUAAAAUAAUAGCAAUAAACAUAAACCUGGUAAGAGUGAGUAGAGAUUUUGAGCUGCUCAGGCCUUGCAGAGAUGAGCUUUAUCAGAGCCUAUCAGAGAUGAAUAAGUUUAUCUGCUCCCUUGUCUCUUUUUUGUGUUUCAGAAUUCCCUUUUGGAAGCACUUUCUGCGCACAUCCUUUGCUGUCUUUUAGGGUACAAUCUGGCAAAAUGACAUCAGUUAGGAAACUGGUGAAAACUGGAGUGAGAGCUACAAUCUGGAUAGGCAGCUCAGGGCAUCUUUAUCACCCUAGCUGUGCUAACAGGGUGCUGUUAAUGCUCCUGCAGCACUUGGAAAACACAAAGCUGUAGCUAAAAGGGUACAGGUAUCACUGAGCUGAGGUCAUUUGUUAGAUUUGGAAAAAUGUUUAAUUCAUAGAAGCAGAUAUUUUCGCUGUCAAUGGGAAAUAUAUAUCUUUAGGGUCCCUUCCAAUCCAAACCAGUCUGUGAUUCCAUUACAUUCACUGUUUCUUAUAAUGAAUAAACAUAGAAGUCUCUGUACUUGUAUAAAUCUAAUGCUUUGACUGAGUUAAUCCCAUUAUUCUUUUUUCCCCUGCACAUAGUUCAAGAUAUUAUGAUUUUUUCCAUUAUUAUGUUGGAA
Cyanistes caeruleus (blue tit) is the source of this 1714-nucleotide non-coding RNA. The record is from RefSeq and is a predicted model, not a curated record. NCBI's taxonomy places the organism in Eukaryota, Metazoa, Chordata, Aves, Passeriformes, Paridae.